AUGGCCCUCAACCCCUUCUCCUCCGGCACCCGCCUCCGGGACAUGAUACGGGCGAUACGCGCGUGCAAGACGGCGGCGGAGGAGCGGGCGGUGGUGCGGCGGGAGUGCGCGGCGAUACGGGCCGCGAUCAGCGGGGACGGCCAGGACCUGCGGCACCGCAACAUGGCCAAGCUCAUGUUCAUCCACAUGCUCGGCUACCCCACCCACUUCGGCCAGAUGGAGUGCCUCAAGCUCAUCGCCGCCGCUGGCUACCCCGAGAAGCGGAUCGGCUACCUCGGCCUCAUGCUGCUCCUCGACGAGCGCCAGGAGGUCCUCAUGCUCGUCACCAACUCGCUCAAGCAGGAUCUCAACCACUCGAACCAGUUCAUCGUGGGGCUCGCGCUGUGCGCGCUCGGGAACAUCUGCUCCGCCGAGAUGGCCCGGGAUCUGGCGCCUGAAGUGGAGAGGCUGAUGCGAAGCAGGGAUGCUAAUACAAAGAAGAAGGCUGCUUUGUGCUCUGUAAGGAUUGUAAGAAAAGUCCCGGAUUUGGCGGAAAACUUCAUGGGUCUUGCUGUAUCAUUACUGAAGGAAAAACACCAUGGGGUUUUGAUAUCUGCAGUUCAGCUCUGCACUGAAUUGUGUAAAGCCAGCAAAGAUGCACUGGGGUACCUGAGAAAGAACUGCAUCGAAGGUCUGGUCCGAAUACUUAGAGAUGUCUCCAAUAGUUCAUAUGCUCCUGAGUAUGAUGUUGCUGGCAUUUCGGAUCCUUUCUUGCAUAUCCGGGUUCUUAAACUUAUGCGUAUGUUGGGUCAAGGUGACGCAGAUUGCAGUGACUAUAUGAAUGAUAUUCUCGCUCAGGUCGCAACAAAAACCGAGUCAAACAAGAAUGCUGGAAAUGCCAUCUUAUAUGAAUGUGUUGAGACUAUAAUGGGUAUUGAAGCUACUAGUGGUCUACGUGUCCUGGCUAUUAAUAUUCUGGGUAGAUUCUUGUCAAACCGCGAUAACAAUAUAAGAUAUGUUGCUCUGAACAUACUUAUGAGGGCCAUUACAGUAGAUGCACAAGCCGUACAGAGGCACAGGGUGACAAUAUUGGAGUGUGUAAAGGACGCUGAUGCCUCCAUUCGCAAAAGGGCCCUGGAACUUGUUUAUUUGUUGGUCAAUGAUACAAAUGUAAAGCCUCUGACCAAAGAGCUAGUCGACUACUUACAAGUAGCUGAUCCAGACUUCAAAGAAGAUCUCACAGCCAAGAUAUGCUCCAUAGCUGAAAAGUUUUCUCAAGAAAAGUUAUGGUAUCUUGAUCAGAUGUUCAAGGUUUUAUCCCUGGCUGGAAAUCAUGUGAAAGAUGAUGUGUGGCAUGCCCUUAUUGUUGUAAUAAGCAAUGCGUCUGAACUUCAAGGAUACUCAGUGAGAUCAUUAUACACGGCUUUACAAGCAUACAGUGAACAGGGAAGUUUACUGAGAGUAGCUGUUUGGUGCAUUGGUGAAUAUGGUGAAAUGCUAGUGAACAAUGUUGGCAUGCUUGAAGCUGAGGCACCAAUCACAGAACGGAGGGAGUAUUAUUUUUCUAUGGUAUUGUUGUCAGACAUCAUGCCAAGCACAUCAACCUGUGCAGAUGUGACAACUAGGUCCAUGUGUCUAGUUGCUCUUUUGAAGCUCUCCUCACGGUUUCCAUCUAUGUCGGAGAGGAUAAAACAAAUAGUUGCCCAGAAUAAAGAAAAUAUGGUGCUUGAACUACAGCAAAGAUCAAUUGAAUUCGGUUCCAUUAUACAAAGACAUCAGUCUAUCAGGUCAUCUUUGCUUGAACGCAUGCCUGUACUGGAUGAAGCUACUUAUCUUGUGAAGAGGGCUAGUGCCACACAAGCAACUAUUCCAGCAUAUAAGCCUGCAGCAGUCACUCCUGGAGGCCUUAAGCUUCCUAAUGGUGUAGCAAAACCUGCUGUAGCUCCAUUAGUUGAUUUGCUGGAUUUAAGUUCUGACGAUGCACCAGCCACUUCCGCUGCUUCUGCUACUACAGCACCUAGUGAUUUUCUACAAGACCUUUUGGGUAUUGGUGGGACAAAUCUAUCAACUGCAGGAGCACCUUCAUCUGCAAGCACAGAUAUUCUAAUGGAUCUUCUAUCCAUGGGAUCGUCUCUAUCACAGAAUGGUCUGCCAUCUCCAGCCCAAGAGAAAAAACCUGUUUCUGCUGCACCUCAAGUUGGUUCUCUUGUACCCGAACCUAUGGAUCUACUCGGCAGUUUGUCAUCAAGUGCAUCUAUUUCUGGAACGAAAUCCACUAUUGCUGCACCUCAAGCUGUGGAUCUGCUCGAUGGUUUGUCACCAAGUACGUCCGUUUCUGGACUUGAAGAUACUCGUCCGUCAAUAACGGCUUUCCAGAGUGCAACUUUGAAGAUCACCUUUGAUAUCAGAAAACAGCCUGGAAAGCCGCAAGAGACUAUCAUCCAUGCCACUUUUACAAAUUUGACAUCUAGCAAUUAUACAGAUUUCGUUUUUCAGGCAGCUGUUCCAAAGUUCAUUCAAUUGCGACUUGAUCCAGCUAGUGGUAACAUUGUUCCAGCUAAUGGAAAGGGUUCAGUCACACAAGGUUUCAGUGUCACGAAUAAUCAGCAUGGGCAGAAACCACUUGCAAUGCGUAUCCGGAUGUCGUACAAAGUGAACGGCGAGGACAGGUUGGAACAAGGUCAAGUCAGCAAUUUUCCACCUGGAGUAUAG
This 2691-nucleotide ribosomal RNA is filed under the name Triticum aestivum (bread wheat). RNAcentral's name for it is "partial small subunit ribosomal RNA". Lineage: Eukaryota; Viridiplantae; Streptophyta; Magnoliopsida; Poales; Poaceae. The record is from RNAcentral.